RNAcentral lists this ribosomal RNA (1574 nucleotides) under Triticum aestivum (bread wheat). RNAcentral's name for it is "partial small subunit ribosomal RNA". Lineage: Eukaryota; Viridiplantae; Streptophyta; Magnoliopsida; Poales; Poaceae. The record is from RNAcentral.
GUCCGCCCCCGCUUUAAAACGCCCACAGCUUCCUUUCCUCAACCUGUGUCCUCCUUCCUUGGCCGCUGACCACCUCGCUCCCCUCCCCUUGGAAUCCGCGGACCCAUGGCUUCUUAAACAACUCGGACCUGCGGAAGCACAGCGCAUCACACCGGAGGUUGCUUCUGCUGUUCCUCCUCGCCCUCGCCGCGGAAGAAUCUUGGUCCUGAUUCUCGGAGGGUCUUGAUGGGGAUCUGCGCGUCAUCGGAGCACCUCGCCCAGCAGGGGCAGGAGGCGGACGAGAGCAUCGUCUAUGUCAUGGACGAGGAAGGAGGAGGCGGCGCGUCGUCGCCGAGGAAGGUGGCCUCCCUCUUCUCCCAGAAGGGCAAGAAAGGCCCCAACCAGGACGCCGUCAUCCUCUGCCAGGGAUUCGGCAUGGAGGGCGGCGUGUUCUGCGGCGUGUUCGACGGCCACGGCAGGUGCGGCCACUUGGUGAGCAAGCUGGUGAGGGACUACCUCCCCUUCAUGGUCCUGAGCCACCGGAACGCGCUGCUCCUGGCGGACGCGGACGCGGACGCCGACGACCCCGUGUUCAGCGACGCCUCGCCGUCGUCCUCCGCGGACAGCAGCGGCAACUCGUCGCCGCACCCGUCGCAGAUGCUGGGGGAGUGGAGGGAGGCCUGCACCAAUGCGUUCAAGGCCAUGGACAACGAGCUCAAGCUGCAGGCCAACAUGGACUGCAACUUCAGCGGCACCACGGCAGUGUGUGCCAUCAAGCAGGGCAAGGAUCUGAUCAUUGCCAACCUCGGAGACUCGAGGGCGGUUCUUGCGACCAUGUCUGGGGCCGGCUACCUCAAGGCCGUACAGCUCACCACCGACCAGAAGCCCGGCCUGCCUGAGGAGGCGGAGAGGAUCAAGAGGUGCGAGGGGCGCGUGUUCGCGCUGAGGGAGGAGCCGGGCGUGAUGCGGGUGUGGCUGCCCGGCGAGAACCUCCCGGGGCUGGCCAUGGCGCGCGCGCUGGGGGACUCGAGGCUGAAGCACCACGGGGUCAUCUCGACGCCGCAGGUGACGGGGCACCGGAUAGGCGACGCGGACCUGUUCAUCAUCCUGGCCACGGACGGGGUGUGGGACGUGCUGAGCAACGAGGAGGUGGUGUCCAUCGUGUGCGCCACGCCGCGGAAGCAGCACGCGUCCAAGGCCGUGGUGGAGGCGGCGGUGCAGAGGUGGAAGACCAAGUACCCGUCCUCACGGGUGGACGACUGCUCCGCGGUCUGCCUCUUCCUGCACGACCACGGCGCGUCGGCGCCGCAGCGGCCAGGAAGCUCUAGCUAGCCGGCGCUCGGGGAGAAGGAGAGGGGUCAAAGAUAAGAUACUCUCAGGCUCCGGCAAUAGGCCGGCCGUUCAGCUCCAUUUUGUACAUGGUUUUCCUUCUUUUUUUGCCGGGGUUUUGCUUUUCUUUUUUUGCAAAUGUGAUGCAAAUACUUUUCUAGGUUUGUGUAAGUGUAACAUAGUUUCGGCUCAAGAAAAAAUAGUGAAGAAAUCACGUUUGCGAUGCUUUGCAUAGAAAAGACAAAACAGACAGCUCGAACUGCUUU